UACCAGCUCUCCGAGUGGUAGGGAUGAUUAUUGGGCUUAAAGCGUCCGUAGCCGGCUUAGCAAGUUUCCUGUUAAAUUCAGCGACCUAAUCGUUGAGCCGCAGGAAAUACUACUAGGCUAGGAGGCGGGAGAGGUCGACGGUACUUCUGGGGUAGGGGUGAAAUCCUAUAAUCCCGGGAGGACCACCAGUGGCGAAGGCUGUCGACUAGAACGCGCUCGACGGUGAGGGACGAAAGCUGGGGGAGCGAACCGGAUUAGAUACCCGGGUAGUCCCAGCUGUAAACGAUGCGGGCUAGGUGUUGGGGUGGCUACGUGCCACUUCAGUGCCGCAGGGAAGCCAUUAAGCCCGCCGCCUGGGGAGUACGGCCGCAAGGCUGAAACUUAAAGGAAUUGGCGGGGGAGCACCACAAGGCGUGAAGCUUGCGGUUC
RNAcentral lists this ribosomal RNA (429 nucleotides) under uncultured archaeon. RNAcentral's name for it is "bacterial SSU rRNA". It matches the Rfam family "Archaeal small subunit ribosomal RNA", at positions 474 to 903 of the family's 1478-position model. The record is from RNAcentral.